UACGUAGGGGGCAAGCGUUGUCCGGAAUCAUUGGGCGUAAAGAGCGUGUAGGCGGUUCGGUAAGUCGGCUGUGAAAGUCCAGGGCUCAACCCUGGGAUGCCGGUCGAUACUGCCGGACUAGAGUUCGGAAGAGGCGAGUGGAAUUCCCGGUGUAGCGGUGAAAUGCGCAGGUAUCGGGAGGAACACCUAUGGCGAAGGCAGCUCGCUGGGACGUUACUGACGCUGAGACGCGAAAGCGUGGGGAGCAAACAGG
RNAcentral lists this ribosomal RNA (253 nucleotides) under uncultured bacterium. RNAcentral describes it as "partial 16S ribosomal RNA". It matches the Rfam family "Bacterial small subunit ribosomal RNA", at positions 524 to 776 of the family's 1533-position model. The record is from RNAcentral.